This 348-nucleotide ribosomal RNA is filed under the name Sphingomonas sp. RNAcentral's name for it is "bacterial SSU rRNA". It matches the Rfam family "Bacterial small subunit ribosomal RNA", at positions 943 to 1313 of the family's 1533-position model. Lineage: Bacteria; Pseudomonadati; Pseudomonadota; Alphaproteobacteria; Sphingomonadales; Sphingomonadaceae. The record is from RNAcentral.
UGUUUAUUCGAAGCAACGCGCAGGAACCUACCAGCUUCAUUAGGACGACUUCCAGAGAUGGAUUUCUUCCCUUCGGGGACUACACACAGGUAUGCAUGCGUGUCAGCUCGUGUCGUGAGAUGUUGGGUUAAGUCCGCACGAGCGCAACCCUCGACUUUAGUUCCAUCAUUAAGUGGGUACUUAAAGUACCCCGGUGAUAAGCCGGAGGAAGGUGGGGAUGACGUCAAGUCCUCAUGCCCCAUACGCGCUGGGCUACACACGUGCUACAAUGGCAAGUACAGUGGGCAGCUAUCCCGCGAGGGUGAGCUAAUCUCCAAACUUGUCUCAGUUGGAUUGUUCUCUCACCUC